CGUAGGUGAACCUGCGGAAGGAUCAUUACUGAGUGAGGGCCCCUCGGGGUCCAACCUCCCACCCGUGUUUAACGAACCUUGUUGCUUCGGCGGGCCCGCCUCACGGCCGCCGGGGGGCAUCUGCCCCCGGGCCCGCGCCCGCCGAAGCCACCUGUGAACGCUGUCUGAAGUAUGCAGUCUGAGACAAUUAUUAAAUUAAUUAAAACUUUCAACAACGGAUCUCUUGGUUCCG
RNAcentral lists this unclassified non-coding RNA (232 nucleotides) under plant metagenome. RNAcentral's name for it is "partial contains small subunit ribosomal RNA, internal transcribed spacer 1, and 5.8S ribosomal RNA". The record is from RNAcentral.